AGAGACAGCAGUAGCCACGGUAACACGGAGGGUGCAAGCGUUACUCGGAAUCACUGGGCGUAAAGGACGCGUAGGCGGAUUAUCAAGUCUCUUGUGAAAUCUAACUGCUUAACCGUUAAACUGCUUGGGAAACUGAUAACCUAGAGUAAGGGAGAGGCAGAUGGAAUUCUUGGUGUAGGGGUAAAAUCCGUUGAUAUCAAGAAGAAUACCUAUUGCGAAGGCGAUCUGCUGGAACUUAACUGACGCUAAUGCGUGAAAGCGUGGGGAGCAAACAGGAUUAGAUACCCGCGUAGUCCCUGUCUCUUAUAC
This 309-nucleotide ribosomal RNA is filed under the name uncultured bacterium. RNAcentral's name for it is "partial 16S ribosomal RNA". It matches the Rfam family "Bacterial small subunit ribosomal RNA", at positions 504 to 807 of the family's 1533-position model. The record is from RNAcentral.